Molecule: RNA transcript, 3168 nt
Organism: Vigna radiata var. radiata (mung bean)
Lineage: Eukaryota; Viridiplantae; Streptophyta; Magnoliopsida; Fabales; Fabaceae
Exons: 2
Source: RefSeq, a predicted model, not a curated record
UCUCUCCUUAUUUUGAUUCUUAUUUAUACUAUUUUUCUCUUUUAACAAACUAUAACCAACAAUUUUCCUUACACGUAUCUAGCUUACUCCUUACCCUUCUUACACGUGUCUAACUUACUUCCUAUUUAUUCUUCCUCGUAAACCUUUAAUGAUCUAACAUUACCCUCCUCCCUAACAUCAACCUUAUCCUCAAGGUUGAGAUUAGGGAACUGGUGGAUAUAGUGCUUCUCCUCCCAAGUAACCCCUUCCAAACCACCUUUUUGCCAUUGUAUUAAGACUUGGGGUAUCUUCUUCUCGUGUGAUUGUUGGUUCCUCGUUGUAGCACCUUCAGAGGGAUGUUCGUGUGUCUGUCCCUUUGCAAUUCAGUUGGUAAAGCUCCCUCUACCUGAUGGUUUCUUACAACUAUGAUCCUUUUGCUAUUAUUCAAAUCUUGAUAUGCUCCUUCUUGGCUAAGAAGGUGCAAUUUCUCCACUUCUUCAGAAAAAGUUUCAUUUUUGUGGCUUUCCUUCCUUAAAAGCAUCUGAUAGUCUGCUAACUGGUUGUCUAUGGCAGCCUUUAGUGAAGCGAGCUCGACUCUCAAAUCAUUGACUUGUCCAAGAAGCUCUUCCUUUUCAGUCUUCAAGUGCUUUAUGACCUCUUCUGUAGCAGACAAGCAAUUGGUGAAUUUAAGUUGUUGUUCUUCAUUAAGGUGGUCCAAAUCAGAUAGUUUCUUAGUCUUGACUUCGGUGUAUUUGUCAUAGAGCUUCGUGUACAAAACCUCUAUUGCACGCACAAACUGUACUGAGUUAAUUUGAAUUUGAAGUCUAUCUUCCUUCAAUGGAAUUCGAUGGUCUAUUUUCCUCUCAGGUGACAGUCCCUGGGGUUCUUGAAACACCCCUUUGAACUCUGUCAAAAUCUGUUGCCAUCCCGCUUCCUGCACUGGUGCUGGUCUCUCUGCUUCCCAGUCUCCCUUAGUCAUUUCUACUUGGCUUAAGCUCCCACCUAGAGGCAUGGUUUCUAUCUCCCUUUCCUUUAACAAUGCCUCAUGGAUAACCACUUUACAUGUCAAUGUUGGAUCUUCUUGAAUUUCUACUUCCUUUUCUUCUGACUCAAAUCGCAUAGUAAGUUCUCCCUAGUUUACCUUAGUUUCUCCCAAUCUUGCUAGCCAUGCCACCCCUAAUAUCACAUCUACUCCUCCUAAGUCAAAGAGGUAGAAUUUCUCUUUUACUUCCAGUCCUUCUAAAACUAAUGGAACCCCCCUUGAGCUAUUUUUUUCUGCCCAUCCUCCAAACUCACCUUGUAAGGUGGUGUCUCACUUAUUUCCAGUCCCAAUUCCCCAACUAGUCGAUUUGAAAUAAAAUUGUGGCUUGCGCCACUGUCGAUUAAUACUAGAACUCCUCUCCCUUGCACCCAUCCUUGUAAUUUCAUCAUGUUCGAAGGAGUGAGCCCUCUUGCCGACAACACGAACAACUCCAUGUUCUUCUGUUCCAAUUCUGGGAUGUCCUCCACUUCAUUUUCAUCAUCUCCCUUUGCCAAAAUCAUCACCUGUAGGCUUCUUUCAACGCACCUAUGGCCUGGACUGUAAGGUCCUCCACACUGGAAACAACAUCCUUCUUCUCGCCUUUUUAUAUACUCCGGAUAGGGUAAAGUUCUUACCCUUCGGCCUUGGUUGUUUCCCCCUCCACUGCUACCUACUUUGGAGCUCGUAUUAUUGGAGACGUCCUCCUUCUUCGAACCAUGCCCUCCACCAAUGUUCAUGGAUGCCUCCGGUGACCCUCGAUAUGUUUCCGCGACUGUCCCGGAACUCGCGGAGUAUCUUCCCCAUGUCACCCCUCCUUUUCCUCCUGUUCCGCCACUUCCUCGCAAUCCCGACCCAGCCUGUUCGACGUCUCGAGCUUGCUCCAUCGCUGGCAACAAAUCUUGUGGGUUGUACGACCUCACCAGAUUUCUCAGUCCUUCCUGCAACCCCGCAAAAAAAUAUCCUAGUAAUUGCUCCUCAUUCACUCUCGCUGCCUCUACCACCAAAAAUUCGAACUCCUGGAUGUACGCGUCGACGCUUCUCGUCUGUCGGCGGCCAAUUUCUCAUACACAAUGCCCCGGUUCAGUUCGCCGAACCUCCGCGUCAGCGCCUCUGUAAACAGCUUCCACGGUGGGUGUUUGGUUUUCUUCCUCCAGAAGCGAAACCAGUAGCUUGCACCUCCUUCCAUACAUAUAUAAACCAACUUCAUCUUCUCCUUCUCCGUUACGCUCUGGAUGUCGAAGAACUUUUCAGCCUUUGCGAUCCAACCCAUGGGGUCAGUACCUUCAAAAGUUGGUAGCUCAACGUGCUUCGUCCAGCUGCGUUGUACUUCGCUUCGGUCAUCUUCCGAUUCCUCCUCCGAACUCUCCGAUAAUCGUCGUUCUCGUUGGCCAUUGAUGGAAUUACGACCCGCUGCAGAGCUCCGAUUCGGUUCCUGGAGCGUCGCCCGAAAGCUCGUCGGAACUCAAGAGUCAUCUCCUGCACCUCCGCCUUCAACUCUUCCACUAUCGACUCUAUUGCCACCAUUCGUCCCUCCAUUCUUCUCCGCUACAGCUUCCUCGGAACAGAUCCGACAGGUCAGACCAAAUCUGUUAGGUUCCUUUUCACACACUCUCAACCAAAAAGAAGCAAUUGUAUAAAUAUAGCAAUUAUAUGAAUAUAAACUUUAUUAUUUUGUAAAGUAUAAAAGACCACAAAUAACAAGUAUUCCCCCAAGGAAGCCUCCCUUCCUCCACUAGAAACGAUCCAGUCUCUAUCCAAAGGGAUCCCUAUCCCCGAGUUCGCACCAAACAGAACUGCAUCCGCCAACUUAUCCCCCAAUCUCCUUUUAUCUCUGACGAGACAUGCAAAUAGACUCAGAAGGUAACUCAUCCAGGAAUCGAUCAAGAUUGUCACCUUCUUAUCCCAGUAAAAAGUCAUGUGCAUCAUUUUGGCUUUUCUGAACAACAGAAUAACUUAAAGUUUUCUUUCUUUAGUUUUUGAGAUUUUUGUUUGUGUUCUGAAUGUUAAAAAAUCAUAAGGAUAUCAACUUCUUAAGGAAAUGAAAAUCUUCUCAAAUUAAAAAUAUGGAUAUGUAUUUUUAUUUAAAGUUGAAAAAGAAAUCAAUUUACUUUUAAUUUUAUGCGUCAAAACAAUGUUUUUAUUUAUAAAUAGUUGAAAUUGAUUUUAUU